This 31-nucleotide non-coding RNA is filed under the name Rattus norvegicus (Norway rat). Lineage: Eukaryota; Metazoa; Chordata; Mammalia; Rodentia; Muridae. The record is from RNAcentral.
UGCUGCUAGGUGACCAGAAGUUGCCUAAAAC